UUAAUUGAAACCAAAAAAGAGGUAUAUCACUGUUAAUGGUAUUAUUGAGACCCGCCCCCUCCAAUUAAA
Molecule: transfer RNA, 69 nt
Filed under: Nannochorista philpotti
Lineage: Eukaryota; Metazoa; Arthropoda; Insecta; Mecoptera; Nannochoristidae
Description: tRNA-Asn
Source: RNAcentral